RNAcentral lists this long non-coding RNA (1188 nucleotides) under Apteryx haastii (Great spotted kiwi). RNAcentral's name for it is "lncRNA (ENSAHAG00000001207.1)". Lineage: Eukaryota; Metazoa; Chordata; Aves; Apterygiformes; Apterygidae. The record is from RNAcentral.
AUGUGUCGUGGAGGGUGGAGCGCGGCGAUUUGCUUAAAUCCCCCUGCGGAAAGCAGUUGGCCAGGACGGCUGAGUGGGUUUGUGCUUUGGCUCCAGCCGUUCCCUUGGAGCGUGUCUUGGCAGCGCUUGCCGCUCCGCACUGGGGGGAGCGGGACGGGGCUGAGCGUGGGUCUCCGGCUCACCGGCGGGAAGGGGACACCCAAGGGGCAGGAGCCGUCCCACUUGGAGAGCACGUCCCGGGGCGCAGGGCUGCCCCGAGCCGGGAACGGGGGCGCCCGUGGCUCUCCCAGCCCGAAGCCGGCCGUGCGGGCAGCGCGGUGGUGGUGCACCCUUCUCCCACGGUGCAAGAGCGGGGAACGGACUCGCCCCAGCACGGCUGAGCUCGCGGCUCUCCCUGGGGAAAUUCCCACUCCCUCUGGCCUCCCUGCCAUUGCACAUCCCGUUCAUUUGCAAUUUGGUUGGUCUGGGUGCUCCGUUUUUGGAGCUGGAGGGAGUUUGGAGCACAAAGCAAAACCAGCUCCGCUGCCCCAGCCACCUCUGCCGAGCUCUGGGACAGGCUCGCCGUGGGCAGCCCAGCGCUGGCUAGCAAGCGGGGCUCCGGCGGUGGCUCCGGCGGCCGCUCMUCUCCCCCGGCCCCUUUGUCUGCGGCUGUUUGCUAGGGAGCGAAAUGGCUUCCCGCACGGGGAGCUGCCCGCAGGGAGCGGGUCCCUGCUGUGCACCGCGCUGCCCUCGCCGUGGGCCGGGGCCCCACGGGGCAGCGGGCUGCAGAGCCGAGCAGGAGAGCCGGUGUGGACGAGAGCCCCUUGCAAUAUUGGCCACGGAAGCCGGGGGGAUUCUCCCUGCGCAGCCGCUCCGAAAGCAGCUGUCGGUGCAAAGAGAUCUCCUGCACAUGUCAGCGGGAGCGGGAGCUGCGGAGCCCGGCUAACCCCUUCAGCGCCAGCCCAAGCCCCGCGCCCGGGGCUCCCUGCAGAAUCUGCUCGGCUGCGGGUGCGCAAUUGCACAGGCAACGCUGCGUUUUGGUGCAGAUAUGUGGGAUUUGUGCGGCGGGAGGCCUCCGGUGAGAUACACGCUCUUGGUGUUAAUGCACAGGUUCACACYUCUGCCUCUGAAAUCGUUAAACCCUCAAAGGGCUGCAGGAGYGCGGCUCCCGGAUUAGCCGGAGCGGCAAUGCUGUGCUACCGGUGCUAG